CAACGAAACACACAACUUUCUAGUUGGUAUCGCCUUAUCGAGUUGACACUCAUUCUUCCUGUGGCCACUUCAUUGGUUGAGUGAAUAUUUUCAGCAAUGAAGAUCAUCAAGACAGAUUUGCGCAACAAGCUAUCAGAUGAUUGGCUAAAUGAUUUAAUGGUGUGCUACUGCGAGAAAGAGAUAUUCAGAAGCAUCCAUGAUGACCAAAUCAUGAUACAAUUCCAGAAAAUGAGGGAUUGGAAAGGACAUUCGCCUCAUGAGUUUAAUGUGAUUUGUUAG
RNAcentral lists this ribosomal RNA (279 nucleotides) under Triticum aestivum (bread wheat). Its description in RNAcentral is "partial small subunit ribosomal RNA". The record is from RNAcentral. Lineage: Eukaryota; Viridiplantae; Streptophyta; Magnoliopsida; Poales; Poaceae.